CGGCCCCCUGGACAAGACUGACGCUCAGGUGCGAAAGCGUGGGGAGCAAACAGGAUUAGAUACCUGGUAGUCACGCUGUAAACGAUGUCGAUUUGGAGGUUGUUCCCUUGAGGAGUGGCUUCCGGAGCUAACGCGUUAAAUCGACCGCUGGGGAGUACGGCCGCAAGGUUAAAACUCAAAUGAAUUGACGGGGGCCCGCACAAGCGGUGGAGCAUGUGGUUUAAUUCGAUGCAACGCGAAGAACCUUACCUACUCUUGACAUCCAGAGAAUUUAGCAGAGAUGCUUUAGUGCCUUCGGGAACUCUGAGACAGGUGCUGCAUGGCUGUCGUCAGCUCGUGUUGUGAAAUGUUGGGUUAAGUCCCGCAACGAGCGCAACCCUUAUCCUUUGUUGCCAGCACGUUAUGGUGGGAACUCAAAGGAGACUGCCGGUGAUAAACCGGAGGAAGGUGGGGAUGACGUCAAGUCAUCAUGGCCCUUACGAGUAGGGCUACACACGUGCUACAAUGGCGUAUACAAAGAGAAGCGACCUCGCGAGAGCAAGCGGAACUCAUAAAGUACGCCGUAGUCCGGAUUGGAGUCUGCAACUCGACUCCAUGAAGUCGGAAUCGCUAGUAAUCGUAGAUCAGAAUGCUACGGUGAAUACGUUCCCGGGCCUUGUACACACCGCCCGUCACACCAUGGGAGUGGGUUGCAAAAGAAGUAGGUAGCUUAACCUUCGGGAAGGCGCUUACCACUUUGUGAUUCAUGACUGGGGUGAAGUCGUAACAAGGUAACCA
This 777-nucleotide ribosomal RNA is filed under the name uncultured Providencia sp. RNAcentral describes it as "bacterial SSU rRNA". It matches the Rfam family "Bacterial small subunit ribosomal RNA", at positions 722 to 1502 of the family's 1533-position model. Lineage: Bacteria; Pseudomonadati; Pseudomonadota; Gammaproteobacteria; Enterobacterales; Morganellaceae. The record is from RNAcentral.